Molecule: small nucleolar RNA, 226 nt
Organism: Pezoporus occidentalis (night parrot)
Lineage: Eukaryota; Metazoa; Chordata; Aves; Psittaciformes; Psittacidae
Product: small nucleolar RNA U3
Exons: 1
Source: RefSeq, a predicted model, not a curated record
AAGACAUUACUUUUGAGAAAUCUUUGACUUAAAAUGGAGUGUGACAGAAACAGCAAAAUGGCUUUCUCUAGAGAGUGAUCGCACCUGAACGGCGUCACAAACCACGAGGAGGAGCGAGGUGCUGUCUCCUGAGCACGAGGCGGGCAGGCGGCGCUGCUUGUGCAGGAGCCGCUCGCCAUCGAUGACCGUUCCCACCCCUUGUGGUGUCGGGAGGAAAAGAAGUGGG